Long non-coding RNA from Apis mellifera (honey bee), 4449 nucleotides. RefSeq lists it as uncharacterized. The transcript has 2 exons. NCBI's taxonomy places the organism in Eukaryota, Metazoa, Arthropoda, Insecta, Hymenoptera, Apidae. The record is from RefSeq and is a predicted model, not a curated record.
GCUUUCUGCUCCCGAUUAAUUCUCCGCUUUAUCUUAUCACACCAGCCUCACCAACAACAUCGAUUCAAUUCCAAAGAUUCCUACAUCCGAAAAAUCACAAUCGAACGAUUCGCAAUUUUACAAAACUCCGCCCGAUUCCCGAUCUCUUCCUCGAUCAACGUGACGUGAUAAAAAACGUGUGUUACAUUUGAGAGAGAGAGAGAGAGAGAGAGAGAGAGAGAGAGAGAGAGAGAGAGAGAGAUAGAUAACGAUAGAGUCGAGAAGAACUUCGAGAAGAAAACGUGUUUGAAUGAUCGAUCGGUUUGGACGUGGACCAAAGAAAUCGUCGGAUGAUGUCGAUCGCUGGCUCGAUUCUGAUCGAGAUCCCGUUUCAACGUCGGCUCUCGAUGCCUCCCAGAAAGAUUUACGGGCCAGAGGUCGCCCGCUUCCUUCUCCGCUAUUUGACUUUUAUCAUUGUCUGCUAGUUUUCACUUGGGAAUAAUUAAAGUCGCAACGGUUUGGAUUUCGAGAUGGAAUUCAGGAUCGAUAAAUCGGUGUAAUGAUCACUGGUGCGUAAAUCCAUCGAAAUUGAUAGGAAAUGUUGCUGAGUUUUUGGCAAAAUUGUGUAAAACGUGAUUUUAUGUAACGGAGUAAUUUUAUUACGAUGAAUGAUUUAAAGAAUAAAUAUGGAUAUGUAGAAGUUGUAGAGGAAAAUAUUUGUUUAAAAGUCGAAGAAAAUUUGCCAGAUCGAAAGUAAAAUAAUCUAUAAAAAUUCAUUCGAUUCAUCUCUGAUUGAAAUUUGAGAAAGAUUUUGUUCUGAUUGAAAUUAAAAAUUAAGAUGACAAAUCUUUGAAAAUUCGAUAUAAAGCUUAUUCAAAUUUGAAUCAUUGUUGAGAUUUUAAAAACUAGAUUCUUAAAUCACAAAUUACUCCCAUAAUAAUUUAAAAUUCGAAGCACAGUUUUUAAAAAAUUAAAAUUAUAAACAAUAAUUCUUCCAAAAUUAUACAUGAAACUUAUCUGAAUAUACUUGAAUCAUGGAUGCAGAAUUUUAAAUAUUGUUCAAUUCAGAUGUUUAAAUUGAAAAACAACAAAUAUGAAUGCAUACAAAGACUAUCAUACUAAUCAAAGUAAAUUUUCAAACCUGAUAUCAACAGUUUAUAAACAAAAACAAUUCUUUAAAAAUUCCAUAAAAUAAUCACUAAAUCGUUAAAAAAAAUUCACAUCUCGAAACAAUCAAAAUUAGAGAAACAAUUUUUCCAAAAGUCCUCGUACAAUUUACACUCGAUUACUUCAUUCCGUGCACACGAUAAAAUAAUUCGACGUAACGAUUGACCGACCACGGGAUCACAAUUUCAUCGACGAUCCUCGAGUCGAUCGAUCGAGGAUCCAUUGUUAGGCAACGCGAUAUCCCGAGAUGUGCGCCACGUUUUAAUAAAGCUAGACCCAGUUGCAGAAGACGUUGUGGCCUCGAAUCCACUGGUUAAAAGUUUUCGAUACGAGAAGGGGGAUCGGGUGAUGCUUGAACCCCUCUUUUUCUCGAUCGUCUAGCCAAAUAUUUUGUUUGCUGUUUGCAAUUGCGUCGAUGGGGGGAUUCGUUAUUCCGGCAUUACGUGAUGCGUGAUUUAUUAGAGAGUUUUGAUAAGAGAAGAAAAAUUUUUUGGCAAAUAUAUCCUCCGGAUAAAAAGAAUCUGUUAAUGAUAAUUCAGAAAAUAUUGCACCUAAGAUUGUAUCAUUGUAUAUUGGAUUACAUUGUACGUUGAGUUUAGAUGGUAGAUUAUCAUAGUACAUGUUGAAAAGUCACACAUAGAAAUAUCAUAUAGCAAUAUCACACCAGUAUGGAAUAUAUGCAAAUGCAAGAGAAAUGAAGGCCUCCUAAAACUUCUGACCGAUUGAAGUAAGAAUACUUUUUAUUGAUGUUGAUCGAACAAAUUUUACUUUACCUUUAUUUAAAAGAAAAUCUAAAGCACGUUGUUUAUCUUUUGUAUCCCCCCUAAAAAGAAAUAAAUCACGUAAUCUUAGCCAGGGAUCCUAGCCAGCAUUGUGAGCAGGUGAGAUAGAUGAUUUGGCUAGUGCAGACCUAUCUACUUUUAUAAAUUAUUAGUAUACAGUAAUAAAGAAGGAAAAUUAUUAGUAUUUGAUCCCUUCAAAUCGAAUAAAAUCCUAUCCAGCUGGCCAGUAUUAUGAGUAUACAUAUAAAAAGUUUCUUUUGGUAGCUUGAAAAUUAAUAUAAGUAUAUGUUUUUUUAAAAAAUAUAUAUGUAGGCUAGUAGAAUUAAUUAAAUGAAAUAGAUCUUAAAAAUGAGCCUUUUAGUGAAAUUAUUUGAAAGCCAAAUAUCUAUUUAACUAAUAAUGGGAAUAUUGAAUAAGUAAAUAGUGAAAAUUCACAGGUUUAUUAAUAAGAUUCAUUGCGAUGAUGUUUCAGUAACUAAUGUAAGUUCUUUAACUGAGCAAUGUUUUUUAAAUUUUUUUACAAACUGUUUAUAAAAAAGUGUUUUAAAAUAUAAAUGGAAAUAUCUGAAAUAAGAUGAUGAAGAAAGAAAAAACUUUUGUAUGAUAAAUAUUAAAAGAAAAGGGGAAAAAAAAGAAUAAUAAAAUUAAAAUUAUACUUCAUAGUAUUCAAUAAUUCAAUAAUUUGAUCGUGUUUGUCUAAUUGAGAAAAUAGAAUGGAAUGUUUAUGAUAGCAAAACAAUAAUAUAGAUAGAAUAAUGAUAGAAAUAGUAGCAUAAGACAAUGUGAAUACGUUCGCAAUUCGAUACUGAACAACACGUUAUGAAACAUUCAAUGGAAUCUCCUUGAAGGUAUUAUUCGAUUUGAAAGGCUAAUACUGCACACUGUUCGAAUGGCGAAUAGCAAUUGCACAUCACGGUCUGGUUAGUUUAGCUUGCAGAAGCUACAAAAAAAUCCUAAAUGCAAAACGUAUUCGAUUAUAAAUAUUUAAACACGAAGAGAAAAAGGAAAGUUGAUACGAUCUUUUUAAACUUAAAAUUUCUUGAAACUUAAAAUCUUUUAAUCUACUUUAAUUUUCGAAUCUUUAAUAACGCAAAAUUUCAUAUUUUCAUUUUUUCUCUUUCAAAAAGAUUACAGAAAAAAAAAUAAUAUUCGCACAAAAUAAAAACUAUAUAAUCAAAUAUUAUUAAUUAAGCCAAAAAUCGAUGCAUAACAAUUUUCAUAGAAUUCAAAAAAAAAAAAAAAAUAAUAAAAUUCGCUCAAUUUAAUUUAAAAUAUAACAUUUUAAAACGUCCAACAAAAUUCAUAUCAAAGCAAAAUAUACAAAUAAUCAAUUUUUUAUCAUUAAUAAUAAAAAUGAAAAUUUUAAAAAACAAAAGUCAAUUAUUCCGAGAACUUCUUAAAUCUUUAUUAUUAAAUUUGAAAGAAAAUUAAUCCAAAGGAAGGAAAUUUUACGCUCGAUAAAACAAAGUUAACCGAGUAUUUAAAAUUUGCGCGUAGCAAAUAUCAAGAUUAUUCGACCAAUUGUUACAUGCGAGUUUACUCAGCGGUCGCACAAAGCGAUUAUUUAUACAGGGGCGCAUUAAUUUUCUCGACGGAAAUUAUCUUUGCCUGUGAGCUCAUCGUAAAUGCAUUUCUAAUUGUCUCCCUCGUUGCAACUUCAUCGUGGAAUCUAUAUCUUGCUAUAUGACGUUUAAAUUAUACAUACCACACCUCUCCAGAUGCGUACGUAGAGGCUGAAGUAACUGUUAUUCACGGGUUCAAAAUAAACUCCCUAUAUCUUAAAGCUUUUGCAAAUUUUGAAGAAAAUUUGAUAAAAAAGAGAAUGGCCCAUGGAAUUAGAAUUGAAAUUUAAUUUAAGUAUUUGGAAUAAUAAAUAUAUGAAAAAUUUGAUUUUAUUAAAAUCAUUUUAAAAAAAUAAUAAAGGAUAACGAAGAAACUAAUAAAUCUCUCUACCCUCUAUGAUAAUAUAUUAUCAUAUCAUGUCAUAUGACACCAUGGUACUAAAAUUUAAUAAAAAUAGAUAUAAAUAAUUCUUAAAAAUUUUAAGAAAUAUAUUAUAAAUUAAGAAUAAAUUAUAUAAAUAUUUAAAUUAAGACUUUUUUGCGUUUAAUCGAAGUUAGAUAACUUAACUUAUAAAUAUAAAUUAAUAAUUGUAAAAUAGAUUGUAAAAGAAAACUCUCGUCUCGAAUCUAAUCGAUUUAUUAACUAAAAUCUUUUAUUUGUAAGUGAUACAUCACAUAAUUAAUUGAUAAUUAUUAUAAUUUAAAUAAAUUUAUUUGUAAAAACGAUAAAACAAAAAAAAAAUAAAAAAAAAUAAAUGAUAUUGUUAAAAUACUAUAAAAUACUAUACUAUACUUAAAAUAAUAUUUGAAGAAUUGUAAUUAAAAAUGUAAUUAAAAAUAAGUUAUACAUUAAAAAAUAGUUUUAUAAUCUUAAUAAUAAUUGCUAUUAACAAUUGAGAGUACAACAAUGAAUAAUAUUUGAAGAUAAGAAAAAUUAUUGAAGAAGAUAAAAAAUUCAU